CAAAGAAUGUGGGUUGUUUUACAAAGUGGCCUAUGUGGAUUUUGUCUGUAGAGAAGAUGGAGUUGGUGGAAUAUAACUUCUCAGGAAAUCUUGAUGGUAUUCGCACAAGAGUGUGAGCGACUGUACCUGUAUCUCUGUAGGCUCUCAUUUUGGCUAAAGGAAAAAGCAACGUUGAGAAACAGAAGAGUGACAAAUCUCCUCCCUCCCUCAAAUUCCGUCACCCCUUGGAUUACGCACAGUUGUGCUUUUCACACCUCUCAGAGUCACCUGCACAGCUUGUUUCAUAAAGCACACGCCGUUUGAUUAAAUGCCAUCGCUGGGAAGGGAGAGCAUAUUUGUUCAGCUGAUCUGGAUGAGCCAAACUAAAUCUCUAAUAGUCUGCAGUAACGAGGUCUUCCUCAGUUCCUCAUAGAGGGAACAGAACCGGCUCCAGAGAGUGAUUCAUCACAGCCCCAGACAGAUGUCAAAAACAAGAGUCACAUGAAUGGCAGUGCAUCAUGGGGGAACGAAUGUGCCCAUGUCCAGAUCCAAUCCAGGCACUGGGAGAAAAAAGCCCACUUGACAUUCCAGUGCUAGAAGUGCUUCUGGUACUCCCACUCAUCAUUUUGGUGCUGUCAGGCUUUGCUCUUGCUCCCUGCAGACCCCCAUGCUUGUGCUAAGCAUAAAUGAUGGCACACACAUGUUGGAAUUGGGGCACGUGAAUUUGUCCACGCUCCACAAGCGAUGCUGAAAUAAGCCAGUUGACAUCUGUAAAAGAUUGAGUUUAAAUCGAUUCACUUCUAUCACAAUGCUUUUCUCUUUUUUAAAUGUAGACGAGCAUUUGUGUGCCUAACUGUCCCUGAACUCAAAUGGCCAGAGGGAUUGUGUUCAAAUUAUCCAUUAAAAACAAUCUCCUUGCAGAGACCAAGCAUGAAAAAUUCAGUCCAAAAGAUGAAAGGUUCGGAAAAUGUUAGGAGUUCAUGGCAAGAGAGGAUUUAUAAGGGUUUGCAGCCUACACUAUAGUUGCCAUAAGCAAUAUAUACCCUAGCACAUAUAGGGCCAAAGCUUCUACCGACUUUAAAGGAAAAUGGAUUAAAGCUUUGAGCGGAAAGCCUCGUGACUAAUCAUCCAUGUGAGUAACCCACACCAUCACAGGAUCCUUCAAGUUGCUGUGUGCGUUCAGAAGGAGCUGCUGCUGGAAACUCUUUGGAUUAAUUCCUCAGCUCAGGUGGCAGAAAUGGGAAGUUUGAAUGCGAAAGGCCUGAUAUCCAAUCCCUACUGGAAAUCCAGGUGGAGCAGAGGUGCCCAUCUCUGACUGUGGGAUGGGAAGCGUUAUGGAAGAUGCUGACUGUGAUUUUAAGCUGUAUCCAUAUUGUAUUCCUUCUGGACAGCAUGCACAGGGACAGAGACCUGCUUUCAGAAAGCCCUCCCACCACAAAAGAAAAAGAGGUUAUAACAAUUAAUAAAUGUUAUUUAUAAAGCACUUCCCACUCCAAGAGCCUUUUGGGAGCAGCAUGAACCAUUAAAAUGAAAUCCAAUUAUAAAACCCAAUCACAAUUAAAU
Gallus gallus (chicken) is the source of this 1542-nucleotide long non-coding RNA. The record is from Ensembl. NCBI's taxonomy places the organism in Eukaryota, Metazoa, Chordata, Aves, Galliformes, Phasianidae.